ACUUACGGCCAUACCAGCCUGAAUACGCCUGAUCUCGUCUGAUCUCGGAAGCUAUGCAGGGUCAGGCCUGGUUAGUACUUGGGUGGGAGACCGCCUGGGAAUACCAGGUGCUGUAAGUU
RNAcentral lists this ribosomal RNA (119 nucleotides) under Hucho hucho (huchen). Lineage: Eukaryota; Metazoa; Chordata; Actinopteri; Salmoniformes; Salmonidae. The record is from RNAcentral.